GGAGUUCCUAUCAUGUCCCAGAGGAAAAGAAUCCAACUAGUAUCCAUGAGGAUGCAGGUUCAAUCCCUGGCUCAGUGAGUCAGGGAUCCAGCAUUGCUGUGAGUUGCGCUAUAAGUUACAGACGUGGCUCAGAUCUGGUGUUGCUGUGGCUGUGGUGCAGGCUGGCAGCUGCAGCUCUGCUUCAACCUCUAGCCUGGGAACUUCCAUAUGCCGCAGAUGUGAAAAAAAAAAAAAAAAAAAAAAAAAAAAAAAAAAGAAAGAAAGAAAAAGAAAAGAAAAGAAGAAAAUAAGGCAGCUUGAUUGUGGCAUAGCUGAGAUUUGAACCUAGUUGUUUGUAUAGCACUCUCAUGACCCCACUAUGUAUUACGUGAUUUGUAUACAAUGCAGAAACUCUUCAAGAACAUGGGUGGCUUAGAACAGUUCAGGGUUUCACGUGUCACACAAUGAGUUCUAUCUGUGAUGCCAUCAUCUAAUUGUAUGUGUGAGCAGUAGACGGAGCUAUGUUCUUGGUCUGGCUUGUGAAAUACACAGCCUAAUUUUUAAAUCUUUUUUAACCUUUAUGUUGCCUGCUAUAUUCUUGCACCUAGUAGCUGAAACAUCCACAGAUUUGGUUCUUAGCAUAUGUGGAACUGAAAGAAUCUAACACUAUUGGCUUUAAGAAUCUAUAAGUGACCCUCAAAAAACACACUUUGGUUUUUAAGAAAAGCGUUUAUUUUUUCACACCCAAAUUCAUGAGCCUUUACUCUUCUACAUGAGCUUUAAUAAAGAGAUGUCCUCCAGCCUCUUUUACCAGCACUGAUUUUGGUGGAAAUAAACAUUGGAGUCAAUACCAGCAUAGUUCAAAGACCUCAGCAAACAUCGCUGUGACCCAGGCCCCUGCAUUUUAGAGGUACAGCCUGCUUUACAGGUAUGGUUCUCCUUGUAAACGCUCAAAUCCUAUCUUUUUUGUGUGGAAAAAUAAGAUUUCAUGCACAAUCAAGUUUAUCUACCUCAAAUCAAUAAAAGCAUUAAAACAGAUAUAAAAGAAAUACAGUUAACCAAUUUAAAUAUUAUUGAAAGUCUUGUAGAACUACAGAUAUGCUGAAUGUGAAAUUUCCUAGUUGAAAGGUGUGUUGAAAGCGGUNNNNNNNNNNNNNNNNNNNNNNNNNNNCGGUUCAGGCUAGAAUGCUUUCAAAUGAUGCGCAACCACUUAUGAAAACUAUUCAGGUGCUUUUCCUAAUCUGAAAGGGAGUGCUUUUUCAUAGCAUUAGUUUUAUAAUGAGCCUUUUCAGGCAAAUUUCAAAGGGUGCAUGGUUCACAUACUUUAAACUAAAUUCACUCAUAAUUUAGCAUCCGACAAAAGCUAAUGCUUAAUUGUCUCUAAAGAGGCUAUAGAAGGAAAACAUUUUCCUUAUUCACAAACCUAGAGCUAAACAGUGGGGCUUCCUCCCAGUACCACCCCUCCCUAAAAUUUUCACAGAAACAAUGGCUCUGUCAAGAGCUGGCCAUGAGGAGGCUGGGAACAGAGAUGCCCCGGUGACCCAGGAGGCUGUGAGACACACUGGUUUCACACACUCUUAGCUGCCACCCCUGGUCUGAACACCCUCAGAGAUAAAGACUUCAACCUGGAGGCAAGAAGAGGUCAAGAUUUGUAAGCUAUGCUAACGUGGGAUAUCCAGCCAUUUACUAUUGGCUGCUGCCUUGAGAUAAGUCAUUUAAACUUGCUGAUCUCCACCCACCUUCCUCAAAGGCAAAAUGAGGAGGCUGUGCUUGACAGAUGAUCUCAAUUAUCACAGUGGUUAACAGCACCCACAGACCUGCAGGCCAGAGGCUUGGCUUCAUGAUCCUUGUCCUGCUACUUCCUAUGUUGACCCUGGGCAAGGAAAGAAAACUCUCCAUGCCUCAACUGCCUCCUCUGCAAAGUAGGGAUAAUAAUAGUGCAAUUCACAUAGGACUGUAGUGAAUACUAUAGGAGUUCACCGUACAUUAAAAAAUCCAGUUUGUGUAAGGAAGUACUAUAUAUGUCUUAACUGCUAUUAGCGUUGUUAGGACAUCCUUCCCAAAGCUUAUAUUCUGAGUCUCUUGGAAAAUCAAAAAUCUGUUCUAUCACUUUUAUUAAUUUAUUUUGCUCUCUUUCUUACAUGUCUUUCAAUCAGUAGCAUCCCUUGGUAAAGCCUUUGGAUGCUCUAUGUUUCUUUUCAUACCAGAACUUUUGUCAAAUUUAAGGCAUAAAUUCCCUUUGAGGUGUGGUGGGUUGAGAGAAGAAAUCCUUUUAAACAACUGCAUCAAGGAAAAUGGCAGCUCUCAUGGAGGAUGGAAUGUUAAAAUGUUGAGAAAGACCUUUCAGAAAAAGUAAAACUUUUUUUUUUUUUUCUUUUUAGGGCCACAUCUGCAGCAAAUGGAAGUUCCAGGCUAGGGGUUGAAUCAGAGCUGCAGCUGCUGGCCUACACCACAGCCACAGCAACACCAGAUCUAAGCCAUGUCUGCAACCUACACCAUAGCUCACAGCAAUGCCAGAUCCUUAACCCACUGAGCAGGGACAGGAACUGAGCUCAUAUCCUCAUGGGUACUAAGCGGUUUCUCAACCUGCUGAGCCACAACAAGAACAUCUAGAAAUGAAACUUUUGAACCUAUUCAAUCCUGAGAUAACUGUAGAAAUAAGCAAACAAACAAACAAAAAAGUACAAGACAGGGAAAAAAUUCUCACUCAUGUAAACCUUGUAAAAUCUCAAGUAAUUUUCAUAAUUGUGACACUUGGAACAAUUUGAUAAUAUCUUAUAUUGAUUCUCAGGUUCUGAGACAAUAAUCAUUACAUUAUUACCUGCAGCCUAAGCAGUGAAGCGUAACCUCCUAAUUAGGAUAAAAAACAGAGCCAGGAGCAGCCCCAGCAAGUCACAACAAGUCAAUAUUUUUAAUAAGGAUUAAUUAAAAAAAAACUCUACAAGGUUGUAUUAGAGGCAGUUCUGGCAUGUCUAUUUAUUAACAGUUGGCAUUACAUCUCAUAAAGGGCUCAUUAUGUAAAGCAUCAAUCUAAGUGUGAUGUUUUCCCCUUUCCUAAAUACUAUUGAUUUUUUUUUUUUUUUUAGCAUAGUUUGGGUACUGAGAAGAUGGAAAACUGGGUCUUGCAAUCACAUUGUCCAUCAUGUGGCAGGACGCCCAAUAGCAAUGGCAAAGAGGACGCACAUCCUUUUUUUCUAAAUUUUGUAGCCAGCCUGACUUCUCAGGCUGGCAGAGGAAAUGUGCUUAUCCGCCCUGUCAGCCAAAGGGAUCCAGAUUUGUAACUCGCAAAUCAACUCCCAGGCAGAGGAGUGCAGGCUCAAGCCGGCAUUCUCUCCAAGGAGGACUGAGAUUCUUCUUAUCUGCAGUAAUUCUACAUGUGCUUGUUCCCCACCCCCCAUUAUUUCCAUUAUAUAUGUAUUUAUACAUGGAAAUAAACAACAAUGCCAUUUGGAAACUGGCUCCCCUGCCCUUGAGAAGGCUGCCGCACUGCACUAGGAAUCUGCAGGAAGACAGUAUGGCCACAGGUGCCUGCAGCUCAUGCAUAUGCAGCUCUGACAUUUGAAACUCUUCAGCCGAUUUCACAACCCCUUUCUUCAUUGACACCGAUUCAUUCCCCAUCAGGAAGGUUUUCAAGUAAACAGCACUGGUCAGAAGCUGCUGCACAUACUUCCGGAAGUAAUCUCCAUCUGUGCUUCUUAAAAGAUUGCAGACUGAUCUCCUCAAUCAUAUUUUAAAUACAGAGAAACUGCAUUUUUUUAAUUAAAAAAAAAAAAAGAAAAGAAAAAG
Molecule: long non-coding RNA, 3765 nt
Filed under: Sus scrofa (pig)
Lineage: Eukaryota; Metazoa; Chordata; Mammalia; Artiodactyla; Suidae
Description: lncRNA (ENSSSCG00005010969.1)
Source: RNAcentral